AUCGCUUCUUGGCCUUUUGGCUAAGAUCAAGUGUAAUAUUGCUUUACAAAUUGUUCACACAUAUCUCUUACAGAACCACCUCAUUUCCCAUAACUCGUGGCUUAAUCCUUGGCUCACUUGCUGAUUCCAUGGCUACACCUGCUUCUAACAACUCCAGUGAAUCCUGUGGGCUGUGUGAGAAGCAUUGUAAUA
Small nuclear RNA from Ochotona curzoniae (black-lipped pika), 192 nucleotides. RefSeq annotates it as U2 spliceosomal RNA. The record is from RefSeq and is a predicted model, not a curated record. The transcript has a single exon. NCBI's taxonomy places the organism in Eukaryota, Metazoa, Chordata, Mammalia, Lagomorpha, Ochotonidae.